AUUUAAGUUGGUGCAAGAGUAGUUGCAGUUUUUGCCAUUGAAAGUAAUGGCAAAAACUGCAACUACUCUUGCACCAACCUAACA
This 84-nucleotide microRNA precursor is filed under the name Gorilla gorilla gorilla (western lowland gorilla). RNAcentral's name for it is "mir-548 microRNA precursor family". It matches the Rfam family "mir-548 microRNA precursor family". The record is from Rfam by way of RNAcentral. Lineage: Eukaryota; Metazoa; Chordata; Mammalia; Primates; Hominidae.